AUCCUGGCUCAGGAUGAACGCUGGCGGCGUGCCUAACACAUGCAAGUCGAACGGAGAUCAUAAGGAUGCGACUUCGGUCAAAUGACUUUUGAACUUAGUGGCGGACGGGUGAGUAACGCGUGAGCAACCUGCCUUUCAGAGGGGGAUAACAUUUGGAAACAGAUGCUAAUACCGCAUAAGAUUACAGUACCGCAUGAUACAGUGAUCAAAGGAGCAAUCCGCUGAAAGAUGGGCUCGCGUCCGAUUAGAUAGUUGGUGAGGUAACGGCUCACCAAGUCGACGAUCGGUAGCCGGACUGAGAGGUUGAACGGCCACAUUGGGACUGAGACACGGCCCAGACUCCUACGGGAGGCAGCAGUGGGGAAUAUUGCACAAUGGGCGAAAGCCUGAUGCAGCAACGCCGCGUGAGGGAAGACGGUUUUCGGAUUGUAAACCUCUGUUUUCGGUGACGAACAAAUGACGGUAACCGAGUAGGAAGCCACGGCUAACUACGUG
RNAcentral lists this ribosomal RNA (495 nucleotides) under uncultured bacterium. RNAcentral describes it as "bacterial SSU rRNA". It matches the Rfam family "Bacterial small subunit ribosomal RNA", at positions 16 to 507 of the family's 1533-position model. The record is from RNAcentral.